RNAcentral lists this ribosomal RNA (460 nucleotides) under uncultured bacterium. RNAcentral describes it as "partial 16S ribosomal RNA". It matches the Rfam family "Bacterial small subunit ribosomal RNA", at positions 338 to 795 of the family's 1533-position model. The record is from RNAcentral.
CCUACGGGGGGCUGCAGUGAGGAAUAUUGGUCAAUGGACGAGAGUCUGAACCAGCCAAGUCGCGUGAAGGAUGACUGCCCUAUGGUUUGUAAACUUCUUUUAUAUGGGAAUAAAGUGUUCCACGUGUGGGUUUUUGUAUGUACCAUAUGAAUAAGGAUCGGCUAACUCCGUGCCAGCAGCCGCGGUAAUACGGAGGAUCCGAGCGUUAUCCGGAUUUAUUGGGUUUAAAGGGAGCGGAGGGGGAUUGUUAAGUCAGUGGUGAAAGUUUGGGGCUCAACCGUCAAAGUGCAGUUGAAACUGGCAGUCUUGAGUACAGGAGAGGUUGGCGGAAUGCGUGGUGUAGCGGUGAAAUGCAUAGAUAGCACGAAGAACUCCGAUUGCGAAGGCAGCUCACUGGACUGCAACUGACGCUGAGGCACGAAAGUGUGGGUAUCGAACAGGAUUAGAUACCCUUGUAGUC